UGCCACUGCCAUAUCAACCUGCAGCCCCAAGACCAGUUACUAACUGAAGCUUAGCAGGGCUGAGCAUGGCUGUACCUGGAUGGGAGACCACAAGGUACAACUAGGUUGCUAUUGGAA
RNAcentral lists this ribosomal RNA (117 nucleotides) under Danio rerio (zebrafish). Lineage: Eukaryota; Metazoa; Chordata; Actinopteri; Cypriniformes; Danionidae. The record is from RNAcentral.